This 216-nucleotide unclassified non-coding RNA is filed under the name Glomus sp. Its description in RNAcentral is "partial contains 5.8S ribosomal RNA and internal transcribed spacer 2". The stretch from base 1 to 65 matches the Rfam family "5.8S ribosomal RNA", at positions 84 to 154 of the family's 154-position model. The record is from RNAcentral. Lineage: Eukaryota; Fungi; Glomeromycota; Glomeromycetes; Glomerales; Glomeraceae.
GUGAAUCAUCAAAUUUUUGAACGCAAAUUGCACUCUCUUCGGAGAGUAUGCCUGUUUGAGGGUCAGCCUAAAAAAAAUCGACAUAGUCGCUGUUUCGCGGUGACAUUCGUCGGAUAUUGGGUCAUCUUAAAUUUUUGGGCUUUAAGUGGUUAAAAAUUUUCUUUAUGAUUCCACGAACGUUUUUAAGUUUUUUUUCUUAUAUGUUUAAGGUAAUUG